UUAAUAUUCCUGUACUUGGUGUUACUGCGAAGGGGGGACGGAGAAGGCUAUGUUAGCCGGGCGACGGUUGUCCCGGUUUAAGCAUGUAGGCUGAUUAUCCAGGCAAAUCCGGAUAAUCAAGGCUGAGGUGUGAUGACGAGGCACUACGGUGCUGAAGUAACAAAUGCCCUGCUUCCAGGAAAAGCCUCUAAGCAUCAGGUAACAUCAAAUCGUACCCCAAACCGACACAGGUGGUCAGGUAGAGAAUACCAAGGCGCUUGAGAGAACUCGGGUGAAGGAACUAGGCAAAAUGGUGCCGUAACUUCGGGGAGAAGGCACGCUGGUGUGUAGGUGAAGCCCCUGCGGGUGGAGCUGAGACCAGUCGAAGAUACCAGCUGGCUGCAACUGUUUAUUAAAAA
RNAcentral lists this ribosomal RNA (398 nucleotides) under Klebsiella pneumoniae. RNAcentral describes it as "bacterial LSU rRNA". It matches the Rfam family "Bacterial large subunit ribosomal RNA", at positions 1430 to 1813 of the family's 2925-position model. Lineage: Bacteria; Pseudomonadati; Pseudomonadota; Gammaproteobacteria; Enterobacterales; Enterobacteriaceae. The record is from RNAcentral.